AUUGAACGCUGGCGGCAUGCCUUACACAUGCAAGUCGAACGGCAGCACGGGAGCAAUCCUGGUGGCGAGUGGCGAACGGGUGAGUAAUAUAUCGGAACGUGCCCAGUCGUGGGGGAUAACGUAGCGAAAGCUACGCUAAUACCGCAUACGAUCUAUGGAUGAAANCGGGGGAUCGCAAGACCUCGCGCGAUUGGAGCGGCCGAUAUCAGAUUAGGUAGUUGGUGAGGUAAAGGCUCACCAAGCCGACGAUCUGUAGCUGGUCUGAGAGGACGACCAGCCACACUGGGACUGAGACACGGCCCAGACUCCUACGGGAGGCAGCAGUGGGGAAUUUUGGACAAUAGGCGCAAGCCUGAUCCAGCAAUGCCGCGUGCAGGAUGAAGGCCUUCGGGUUGUAAACUGCUUUUGUACGGAACGAAACGGUGAGCUCUAAUACAGUUUGCUAAUGACGGUACCGUAAGAAUAAGCACCGGCUAACUACGUG
This 484-nucleotide ribosomal RNA is filed under the name uncultured bacterium. RNAcentral's name for it is "bacterial SSU rRNA". It matches the Rfam family "Bacterial small subunit ribosomal RNA", at positions 30 to 507 of the family's 1533-position model. The record is from RNAcentral.